ACCCCAGCCCUGCUCUAAAAUUCUUCUCCUCUGAAUUCUUUCCUUUUGCAGCAUAACCAGUCUCUUGCAUAGGAGGAAGUGGUAAGCUAAGGAGAGAAAUGCAUGGCUCCUAGCACACCAAUUUUGCAACUUUUUCAUCUUGGCCUUGCUUUAAAAUGACGCAUCUACUGUCUUCAUGCCUCAGCACAGCAGAGAAAACCAUGCUGUGUUCCAGUUUACUUUGAAUGUUUCAGUGAAAAUGAUGAAGCUGAAAAAAUGAUGGAGCCCUGUUUUACCUGGUCACCCGAAUGUGGAAAAAUUGAGUUUGAGCGAAACUGGUGUGGCCGUACUGGAUGGACCUCAGCAUGACCAGGGCAUAUUUCAGCUCAAAUCCACUGUGCCAAGAACACAUUCUGCCAAGGACCACCACCUCUUCCCACAACUGUGAGUGGGUUUAUGUCAUCACAGGAGGUGCAAAAACGUGUGGCGAGUGUCAAGACCAGAUACUGCAAGUUGUAGACACUUUCGAGUGGCCAGAGGGAAUCAGAGUGGAGUGCAGGUAUGCAGGAAAGCCGAAGGAAGGAAACCAAAAGGAGAGAUUCUCCAAACACAAAACAGAUCCUUAAGCCACAUGGAGCAAAUAUCUGAUAAGAGCUGACUUACCAGAGCACCCAUGGACUUGGACACCUAAGACGUCUGCUUGGGAUCCCACACUUUCAAGGUCUUUCCUCUGGCCUUCUUGUGGUUCUGCAACUCCUCACAGUGCUGGGAGUUGGUGAUGCCAACAGGACAUACCCUCCCAGAACCUACCUCUCCCAGAUCACUUUAAAAGGCACCCAGGACCCCAGAAUUCUCAUCCUCAAAGGCAUAGAGCUCAGUUCUUGACCCUCAACAAAUCUCUUCCUCGUAAAGAUCCUUUUGAGAGCGUAGGAUGCCCCCUGGAUGGUUUUGGUUGCAGAUUGUGGUGGUGGAGGGAGCUAUAAAAUGUAAUCUAUUACGAUUAAUUGGAUGCGCUAAUGGCAGAUUGGGUAGCGAUAACGCCAUAAGGCGUGGUGUGUGAACCAUGUGCUGCAUCUGUGCUAGCUCAGGUAAGUCAGCACACAAUGCCUGCAGCCUCCUCUCACCUCUUCCCUGAGCAGCACCUUUUGGCCUGAACGUGCCGAUCCCCCGGUUCUUCUUCUUGACAGCGACUUAACAUGCCCUGGGCAGCUUUUUAAAAUAAAUGAGUAUGAUAUUGACUAUGAAUCUAUAUAGAAGUCACUUGUUUUUCAGUCAUAAUCCAUGUCUAACUGCAGAAGAAAUUUCACACAUUUGAAAACAAAUAAAAGUGUAAAAGUGAAAACUUUUGUAACCGCAGUAUUCUGAAAUAGAAC
This 1352-nucleotide long non-coding RNA is filed under the name Rhinopithecus bieti (black snub-nosed monkey). RNAcentral describes it as "lncRNA (ENSRBIG00000045771.1)". The record is from RNAcentral. Lineage: Eukaryota; Metazoa; Chordata; Mammalia; Primates; Cercopithecidae.